RNAcentral lists this long non-coding RNA (298 nucleotides) under Salmo salar (Atlantic salmon). RNAcentral describes it as "lncRNA (ENSSSAG00000084804.1, ENSSSAG00020074966.1)". The record is from RNAcentral. Lineage: Eukaryota; Metazoa; Chordata; Actinopteri; Salmoniformes; Salmonidae.
CAAACAUACAGCUUGGAGAUCACCAGCUUCUUUAAUGGGAAUUCUGCCUUGUACCGUGCUGACUCCAAUCACAAGGAGAGGCUUGUGAAGAGUGUGUCUGAUGUGGUCAGUCAGGUGACCAAUACACAGAUCCCCCGACACCUGCACAUUCUGGAGAUUUUCCCUUCCUUCGCCAAGGACAAGGACUGGGGGAUGUUUCCUCCCAUCAGGUACCUGUUCAGAUGAUGUCAUCAAGAGGAGACAGACCUGAGAGGCCCUAACAAUAGAGCCGUACAGAGAGCCACUGUAUCAACCCUCC